CGGAAUGUGGCUCAAGUUGGGAGGCGUUACCUGCGGAGGGUUUGAGGCACGCCCAGGAGCGAGCCCACGGUCGGCCGACGCGGGGCCAGGGGCGGGCCCCAGGAUCCGGAGCUUCGGGCGGGGCCGAGUCUGGGUUUGGGGCCCGGGAGGCGGGGCCAGUUAGGGCGAGGGUCCCUGGGAUCGUCGGGUCAGGCCUUGGGCUAACGUAGACACUCUCGCAGUACCUCCGCCUUCAGGAAGGUCUUUUUAGCAGGGGCCUUACAGGUGCACGCUUCGGUCCUGGAGGCCUUAUCCUAACCUCUCCAUCAGCGCCACCCGUCUGGGGCCCGAAAGGAGGGAGCUUUCCCUCUGUCCUCCAGCCUUUGGACUGUCUCCAAACAAGCCAUUCGUUCACCAAAUACUUAUUAAGCACCUACCAUGUGCCUGACAAGGGAGAUGUAACGAUAGGGUCUCUCUCUCUGCCACCCAGGCCAGAGUGCAGUUGACGCAGGGCAGGGGAGCCCCGAAGUGGAGCAUAGUGUGUCCGGAACUGGUGGGUUCUUGGUCUCACUGACUUCAAGAAUGAAGCCGUGGACCCUCACGGUUCAAGCGAUUCUCCUGCCUCAGCCUCC
This 611-nucleotide long non-coding RNA is filed under the name Homo sapiens (human). RNAcentral describes it as "HSALNT0312607". Lineage: Eukaryota; Metazoa; Chordata; Mammalia; Primates; Hominidae. The record is from RNAcentral.